AGCGAACGCUGGCGGUAGGCCUAACACAUGCAAGUCGAACGGCAGCACAGGAGAGCUUGCUCUCUGGGUGGCGAGUGGCGGACGGGUGAGGAAUACAUCGGAAUCUACUUUUUCGUGGGGGAUAACGUAGGGAAACUUACGCUAAUACCGCAUACGACCUACGGGUGAAAGCAGGGGAUCUUUGGACCUUGCGCGAUUGAAUGAGCCGAUGUCGGAUUAGCUAGUUGGCGGGGUAAAGGCCCACCAAGGCGACGAUCCGUAGCUGGUCUGAGAGGAUGAUCAGCCACACUGGAACUGAGACACGGUCUAGACUCCUACGGGAGGCAGCAGUGGGGAAUAUUGGACAAUGGGCGCAAGCCUGAUCCAGCCAUACCGCGUGGGUGAAGAAGGCCUUCGGGUUGUAAAGCCCUUUUGUUGGGAAAGAAAUCCAGCUGGUUAAUACCCUGGGGUCAUGACGGUACCGUAAGAAUAAGCACCGGCUAACUACGUGCCAGCCGCCGCCGUAA
This 506-nucleotide ribosomal RNA is filed under the name uncultured bacterium. RNAcentral describes it as "partial 16S ribosomal RNA". It matches the Rfam family "Bacterial small subunit ribosomal RNA", at positions 29 to 523 of the family's 1533-position model. The record is from RNAcentral.